AGCUCUGAUAGUCUAGUGGUUAGAGCGUCCGGCGCGGAUGCGUGAGGGCGUGGGUUCGAUCCCCGAUUGAGUCA
Molecule: non-coding RNA, 74 nt
Organism: Potamilus streckersoni
Lineage: Eukaryota; Metazoa; Mollusca; Bivalvia; Unionida; Unionidae
Source: the annotation of a GenBank genome assembly